AUUUGAAAACAGAUUUCUUUAAUCAUAACACCACACAACAUUUUUGUACCACUAACAGUCACAAUGUCAAGAGGGAAUAAGCAGUUUACAGGCCUCUGGCAAAACAAAGGGUUGUAGGCAAUAAGGAAAAUAUCAGAGAAUUUUUCUUUCAAUUCUCUCUACUCCAAAAAAUAAAAUGCUUUUAGUUUUAAUCUGUUUUCGUGUGGUCUUGCUUAAGUGCACGUGAGGACUUCCCCCUCUUGCUUGCAGCCAGUUGUUUCAGUACAGCACAUACAUCAGCCUCAUAUCCUAGUUCUAAUAUUGCUUCCAGUGCAGGAAUCAGUCACUGCAGAGUACGAAAAAAAUUAAGAAAAUCACGUAUUUCUCAAUCUUCUGCAAAAGUGGAGUCCAAACCGAUAACGGGAGCAAGUUUUGUUGUGCAGAAGCAGGGAAAAACCUCAGCUGCAGUCGCGUCUCCUAAGAUAAUGCCAAGUCAGAUUUUUCACAAAUCAAGCUGUGUCAAAAUAAAAACACUGCCAAAUUAUGAAGUGACAGGGUGCUGAUUACAAUUAUUAACGAAAACUGGCCGUGUUAAGCUCUUCUGUCACCUAAUUUAUUAAGAAAAAUAUUUCAGUAGCAGAGCACUUGGGAAUGGUGCCUGCAUUGUGCACACUGACCAAGACAGCACAAGCUGCUGUGCUGUAAAAAAGUAAUUCUUUCUAGGACACAAACAGCCCCCCACCGAACUUUCAUCUGCUUCUUGCCUUGCUGCAUCAUGCACUAGUUGGAUUUAUUUAAAUUAUUUUGAAAGGGGUAAAGGAUUCGGGACAAAGGAGCUAAUUUCUAAUCCAUAUUCAGUGCUGAAGAUGAGCCUGUGUUACUUCCUCCUCUUUGAAAUCAAUUUGCGUUUAAAAUAUCCAUUCAAAUGUCCUGUUUUCAGUUCAGAUUAAGAGAAGACCCUUUAAAGAAUAACAAUUAAUUACUUUGGAAGUUUAGUUGACCACGUCGCGAAUUUUAUUUAGAAGGAAAAACAAAAGUUUCUGUCUCCCGAGGUCUCUACAGGUCCAGGACUCGGGGUUUAUCGCCUCUUUUUUAACUCACCCGUUGCCUCUCCGAAGGGAAACUUCGCUGAGGGGAACAACAGUCUUUCUUUUCCACGCCGCUGCGAACCGGGGGGGGUGCGUCGCCGAAAUUCGGAUAAAAACCGGCUUUUUCGCCUCCUAAGAAACACAAAAUGAGCGGGGAGACGGGAGCGUUCCGACGGGCGGC
RNAcentral lists this long non-coding RNA (1248 nucleotides) under Strigops habroptila (Kakapo). RNAcentral's name for it is "lncRNA (ENSSHBG00005000179.1)". The record is from RNAcentral. Lineage: Eukaryota; Metazoa; Chordata; Aves; Psittaciformes; Psittacidae.